Molecule: long non-coding RNA, 2738 nt
Filed under: Sus scrofa (pig)
Lineage: Eukaryota; Metazoa; Chordata; Mammalia; Artiodactyla; Suidae
Description: lncRNA (ENSSSCG00015020928.1)
Source: RNAcentral
GAAAGUCACAAUGACGCCUAACCGUCUAAGAUGAUUUUGAGGUUAAAUGAGUGAAGAGAUAAAAUACUCUUAGAGCAGUACCCGACCCACAAUAAAUGCUCUAUAAAAGUUAGACAUUUUUUAGAAUCUACUUUAUGUCUCUACCCAAUAGUUCUACUAUUUGAUCUUCUUGAGAACUUAACUCUGCUGAUUAUGUCUUAUGGAUCCACUCAUGACAUUUUGCUUUCUUGGUGUCUUUUUAAGCUCACAUGUGCAGCAUAUGGAGGUUCCCAGGCUAGGGGUCAAAUCAGAGCUCUAGCUGCUGUCCUACACCACAGCAACGCUGGAUCCAAACCACAUCUGCAACCUACAUCACAGUUCAUGGCAACUCUGUAUCCUUACCCCACGGAGUGAGGCCAGGGAUCGAACCUGCAACCUCGUGGAUACUAGUUAGGUUUGUUUGUUAACCGCUGAGCCACGAUGGGAACUCUGAAUCCUGUAUAUCUUGGCUUCAGCCAUCAGAGCACUAUAGACUCAAAGAUAUCAGGGUGUUCCUGGCCCAGAAUUUCAGGAAUAUCACUGGCAUGUGGCUAUUAGGAAUAUUAGGAGUAUCGUAGCCAGCAUUUCCCUGGCUCAGGAAACCUUUUUCUGUUCACUUACUGACUGGAGGUCUGUGGGCCAUUUGGAUGGUCUGAGUAACAAGCCUGUGGCCACAUGUUCUCAAGGGAGAUGUUUUCUUCCCCACGUAUAGCUGUGGCCUAGAAAGAUAAGCAUUCCUGGGAGCUCUUGUGCUCAAGGUAGAAUUUCCCCACCUGCUCUACUCUCGCUGAGGGACUAGCUCUUCAGGGGCCCUGGCUUAUGUGAUGGUCUCACCUCCAGGGCCCGGGCUCUCUGCAUAGAAUUAAAUCCCAUCACGCUAAUUUGCAGAGAACGGCACAGCCUUUCCAGAGCCUCAUCCUCCAGGCAGAUUUCCCAGGAGGGCAAGCCCAUGAUGCUUGUGACGUCAGCCCUUCUUGGAGAAGAUGCUUUUAAGUGCUUUAAUCCAGCCAUGCAGAAGUUGUCCCAUCCGCCAUCAUGGGGGAAACAGAAGUCUUCUGUGGUCUAUUUCACAGCCUCAGGAAUAUUUAUUUUUGUGUGUGUUUGUUUUGGUGGUGUGCUUUUUAGGGCCACACUUUCGGCCUGUGGAAGUUCCCAGGCUAUGGGUCAAAUCAAAGCUGCAGCUGCCGGCCUACACACAGCCACACCAAAGCAGGAUCUGAACCAUGUCUGUGACCUACACCAAAGCUCACAGCAAAGUUGGAUCCUUCAGCCAUUGAGCCAGGUCAGGGAUUGAACCCAUAUCCUCAUGGAUUCUAGUGGGGUUCGUUUCCACUGAGCCACCACGGGAACUCAGGAGUAUUUGUUGAAUGGACAGACUGGGUGACUGGACACCUAAGAGCCCAGGCCGCUCGUUCAGAGCCUUGACCACCACUGGGCCUGCAUCUCCAGCUGCUCAGGAGUCUGGUCCUAAGACAGGAGACCACGCCUGAAAGGAGAACGAUAGGGAAUCAGUUGGAGGCUCUGAUAUUCUCCCUGAGGUCAGUUAACAGAGGCUUCUUGUUCAGCCUGAUGCUCUCCAGGCCCCGAGCACAGCAGUAACUAAGGCGGCCACUGCCUUCCAGGGUGCUGCCUCCCUCUUCUGCAAAACGCGUCCUUACAGAGCUGCUGCAAGGAAAAAUAAUGAGCUUUGAUAACAGCGAUCAUCCAUCUAGAGCGUCUCGUGUGCCAAGCCCUGCUUUCAGUGUUCACCCGUGUUAACUCAGUUCGUCCUCACGGCCACCAUAGAUACACACGGUUACCACCCCUGUGUCGCAGCUGGGAGAAUGCGGCAUGGCACUGUCACCCAGCCAGAGAGUGGGGAGCCAGAUUUGAACCCAGGCCGUCUAGAUCCAAACGCAGGCUGUGAAGCCCACACUGUGCUGCCUCCCGGGCUGCGGAAGGAUAUUUGCAUGAUCUCUGGCCCAUAAGCCUGAGGACGCGACACUGGCCGUUAGCAGUAUUGUUCCUGAGGUCUUUAUUGUCAUUAUAGUAUUACGAUUACUGCUAGUGCUUUUGCUAUUAUUUGCAGUACAUUCUGUUCCCCGGCCCUGGGAUCUCUAGCCCAGGAGCCCCAGAGCCACAUACGGAAGGACGGCUUGCUUCUCGCAGCCUGGCUGCAGAAGUGACUCGUGAGAUGACGAUGAGGCUGGAGCUGGGGAGGCAGGGUAGCCGAGGUGGGGCAGGGGAUUCGAAGCGAAGGCAGUGAGGAGGAAUGUGCCGGGGGUCGGUGUGGCUCGGAUGAGGAUUCACGGAGAAGCAGCAGGACGCAGAGAAAAGGCUGAUUGGGCCAGAGGACAGAGGCCGACCAAGGCGCAAGUGAGGCUCCUGCAAGAGAGGAAGAGCUGUGAUAUGAAAGUUCUCGUGCAGGGGCGUGGCAACCGACUUUUCUUUCUUUCUUUGUUGAGCUCAAUUCUGUGUUGAAUUUUCCCAUAAAAAAAAAACUUGCAGUAGUUCCCAUCGUAGCUCAGUGGUUAACGAACCCGACUAGGAACCCCGAGGUUUCGGGUUCGAUCCCUGGCCUCGCACAAUGCGUUAAGGAUCGGGUGUUACGGUGAGCUGUGGUGUAGAUCGCAGAUGCGGCUCGGAUCUGGCGUGGCUGUGGCUGUGGUGUAGGCCGGCAGCUACAGCUCUGAUGCAACCCCUAGCCUGGGAACCUCCAUAUGCCAAGGGUGUGGCCCUAG